RNAcentral lists this ribosomal RNA (381 nucleotides) under Scaphiophryne obscura. Its description in RNAcentral is "partial large subunit ribosomal RNA". It matches the Rfam family "Bacterial large subunit ribosomal RNA", at positions 1926 to 2472 of the family's 2925-position model. Lineage: Eukaryota; Metazoa; Chordata; Amphibia; Anura; Microhylidae. The record is from RNAcentral.
AACGGCCGCGGUACCCUAACCGUGCGAAGGUAGCGCAAUCACUUGUUCUUUAAAUGAGGACUAGUAUGAAUGGCAUCACGAGGGUUAUACUGUCUCCCCCUUUUAAUCAGUGAAACUGAUCUUCCCGUGAAGAAGCGGGAAUAAGCCUAUAAGACGAGAAGACCCCAUGGAGCUUAAAACUCAGUACCAACUGCCUUACCACAUACCCCUUAAACCAGGCAGAAGUGAUUACUAGUUUUCGGUUGGGGUGACCGCGGAGCAAAAUAAAACCUCCACGAUGAAAGGAACUAACCUCCUAAUCAAAGAACCACACUUCUAAGAAUCAACAGAUUGACAUUUAUUGAUCCAAUUUUUUUGAUCAACGAACCAAGUUACCCUGGG